UGCCAGCAGCCGCGGUAAUACGGAGGGGGUUAGCGUUGUUCGGAAUUACUGGGCGUAAAGCGCACGUAGGCGGACUGGAAAGUUGGGGGUGAAAUCCCAGGGCUCAACCGUGGAACUGCCUCUUAAACUCCUGGUCUUGAGUUCGAGAGAGGUGAGUGGAACUCCGAGUGUAGAGGUGAAAUUCGUAGAUAUUCGGAAGAACACCAGUGGCGAAGGCGACUGUCUGGCACAUUUCUGACGCUGAGGUGCGAAAGCGUGGGGAGCAAACAGGAUUAGAUA
RNAcentral lists this ribosomal RNA (279 nucleotides) under uncultured bacterium. RNAcentral describes it as "partial 16S ribosomal RNA". It matches the Rfam family "Bacterial small subunit ribosomal RNA", at positions 506 to 784 of the family's 1533-position model. The record is from RNAcentral.